RNAcentral lists this ribosomal RNA (266 nucleotides) under uncultured bacterium. RNAcentral's name for it is "partial 16S ribosomal RNA". It matches the Rfam family "Bacterial small subunit ribosomal RNA", at positions 1235 to 1500 of the family's 1533-position model. The record is from RNAcentral.
UGCUACAAAGAGCAGCGAAACCGUAAGGCGGAGCAAAUCUCAAAAAAGCAUUCUCAGUUCGGAUUGAGGGCUGCAACCCGCCCUCAUGAAGUCGGAGUUGCUAGUAAUCCCGAAUCAGAAUGUCGGGGUGAAUGCGUUCCCGGGUCUUGUACACACCGCCCGUCACGCCAUGGGAGUCGGGGGUACCCGAAGUCGGUGGGCUAACCGCAAGGAGGCAGCCGCCUAAGGUAAAACCGAUGACUGGGGUGAAGUCGUAACAAGGUAUC